Molecule: ribosomal RNA, 484 nt
Filed under: uncultured bacterium
Lineage: Bacteria
Description: partial 16S ribosomal RNA
Rfam family: Bacterial small subunit ribosomal RNA
Source: RNAcentral
AUUGAACGCUGGCGGCAGGCCUAACACAUGCAAGUCGAGCGGAUGAAGGGAGCUUGCUCCUGGAUUCAGCGGCGGACGGGUGAGUAAUGCCUAGGAAUCUGCCUGGUAGUGGGGGAUAACGUCCGGAAACGGGCGCUAAUACCGCAUACGUCCUGAGGGAGAAAGUGGGGGAUCUUCGGACCUCACGCUAUCAGACGAGCCUAGGUCGGAUUAGCUAGUUGGUGGGGUAAAGGCCUACCAAGGCGACGAUCCGUAACUGGUCUGAGAGGAUGAUCAGUCACACUGGAACUGAGACACGGUCCAGACUCCUACGGGAGGCAGCAGUGGGGAAUAUUGGACAAAGGGCGAAAGCCUGAUCCAGCCAUGCCGCGUGUGUGAAGAAGGUCUUCGGAUUGUAAAGCACUUUAAGUUGGGAGGAAGGGCAGUAAGUUAAUACCUUGCUGUUUUGACGUUACCAACAGAAUAAGCACCGGCUAACUUCGUG